GGCAAUGAAUCUCUCUUUCCACCGCGGAGAGUCUGCUGAUUAAAAUGGAGGCGAUCUGACUGUCAGGAUGGAUGAGAGAUUGGAGAGCGAAGCGGCGUCGGCGUGAUUCACCGGCUCUGCGCAGAUGAAACAGUCGCAGGCUGAGCUGGGAAUGGACAUCUCUAAUGAGGAUAAGAACAUCUUAGAAAGAGAGGGGCUGACAGAGGACUGGAGGGGCUGUUUAAUUCUGCCACUGACCUGAAAGAGAUCAUCAGACAAUGAAAACACCUUUCUCAGGUGCUGGACUUUGGCGACAGGCUUGUCAUUCCCAAUGAGUACACAGAGGAGAAGACGACCUCAGGGACUUGGUGGAAGCAGCUGGUUGCCAGAGCAACUACAGGACUGGUAUGCAGGACAGGAAUCUUUUUGGCCGAACUACAGUUUCGUUUUAUGCAAGUGCAUCAUUAGCAUUUCUCAAUAACAGACUGACUUUCUAGUCUGUUUCAACUGUUGAAGUGAUGCUGAAAAUAUCACAUGAUAUACCAGAUAUUACUGACUUUUAAUAGUUUCAUAAGAAAUGCACUGCACUGUGAUUAAUUCGGUUGAUGUUGUGACUGGGUUUCAGGUCCAUUCUUUCCGAUAAAACCAAACAAACAGAUGUCCCUGUGGAAAUGAAAUGUAAUCAUGUUAAAAAUUGCACCAGAAUCCACCAUGACAGGCAGGAUCCUGAAUAAAUAUUUGAGCAUAAAUGACUCAGUCUUAGUCUGAUAUAAAAGGAUUUCCAGCAAAGAAUAACCAUAGACAAUUGCAUAUUAUGCACUAUGUGCAUGUGAAAAAAUGCUUGGAAACGUCACGAUUGAAGACCUACCAUUAAACUUGAACUACAUUCAUUACUUCACCAUGGCAACAAGGCAGAAAAUAAUGUUUUAGAAUAAAAAAAAUUAUUACUAAAAAAAGAUUGCAUCAUCAGCUGUUGGAUAUAUAAAGACAUCCAACUUUACCCAGUGUAUUUGUGUAGGGAAAUAUAUAGUAAAUCUUAACGGCUUGAUUGCUUGUAUCACAUCCAAAUGUAAACUAUAUUAUUGCAAAGCUCUAACCUGCAAACAUGAUUUUCUGUAAAGCUGCUUGAGUUGACAUCACUGAUAUUAUAUUUUUGCAAGUACAAAGUAUAGUUUAACCCUUUUAAAACCAACACAUCAACUAGAACCAGCAAAACCAAUAGGGAAAUGGAGGCAUAAAGGCCUUUUAUACAGGCUACAUCCCCAGCAUCCUGGGCAUUAUUCCAUAUACAGCCAUCGAUCUUGGCAUUUAUGAGGUACAUGCACAAAAAGCACUUGCACAAUAAGCAAGUGGUAUUUUAUGGCAUCAUACCUAUAAAUAAAUAUCUUGUAAUGGAAUUGGCUUACCAUUUUAUCCUUGGAUUGUUUCAUUUGUAAUCGACUCCAUCGGACUGUACUUCCACAUCUCUGCCGGUUGCCUUAUUGAUUCCCUGUAAUGUAAUACACCUCUGUAAUGCUGUCACUAAAUCAUACAGGAAUAUAUGAGGCUGUGUUUCAGAUAUUAACACUGACGGCCACUUGAAGGGAAACUCUCAAUGAGGAUGAUUGAUUUAUAGGUAGCGCCAGUGUUUAUCAUUGUCAUAAACCGUGGUGCUCCUCAACAUCACAAAUAUCACAUUAAAAACUACUUAAGUCUCAUCAAAUGCUCUCCGUGGGAUUACAAAUAAUGCAAUGAGCCUAUAAAUUGCUGUCUGGUUUUAAUUAACAUUAAUAAUAAAAUGUCACUUGCAUACAGUGCGGUAUAAACACUCUACUAUUAAGUAUGCAUUUUAGGUGGGAAAUGGUUUUGUACUUCUAUUCCAAUUUUUAGUUAAAAUUUCUGAAUCUUUGGAAGUCUGACCAAAUAAUGAAUCAAGAAUGAGUAUACUCCUCUUUAUGCAUAUAAUGAUAUGGCAGAAAUAGUAUGUUGUAUGGCUGAAUUCAAAGUUGAGUCAGCAAGUUUUAUAAAAUAUUUCUGAAAUAAGUAUAUCAUGCUCACCAAGGCUGUAUUUCUUUAAUCAAACAUACAGUAAAAACAAUGAUACUGUAAAAAAUUAUAAUAACUCUUAUAUUUUAUUUUAAAAUGUAAUCAUUAGAAAUCAUUCUAAUAUACUGAUUUGCUGCUCAAGAAACAUUUCUGAUUAUUAUCAAUGUUUAAAACAAUUGUGCCACUUAAUAUUUAAGUAGAAACAGAUCAUUUUUUCAGGAUUCUUUGAUGAAGAGUUCAAAAACAGCAUUUAUCUGAAACAGAAAUCUAACAUUAGGAAUUAAAUUGUAUUAAUUUAAUGAAUCCUUGUUGAAUAAAAGUAUUUAUUUUUAUGCAUGUUAUGCAUCUAGCUAUUUUCAGCUGUACAAAACAGCUUGUUUUGCUGCUUGAUAUUCCAAAUUGGUGUGUCCUAACAUGUUGUUAAUGCAUUAUUAUUAAUUAUGAACACACUGGUUAAGUGCAAACAGUUUUACCAUUUACUGCACGUUGUUAUUCUCUUAAUAAUGAACCAGAAGUCUGGCCUAGAGGCUUUCUUCCGUAUUGAAGAAUAUAAGGUAGAUAGUGAUGCUUUAGUAAACACCACGAAAAUAGUAGGAGUAGUAUGGUAAUUAGCUAUUCUAAACAAUCCCUUAAUCAAAGUCAGUAAUUUCUUUCCAACUGAGCCUUAAAAACCUAUCUUCGCUACACUAAAACACAGUACUAACCCCGGCGUCCGGUUCCUGCUGGCCCGCGGGACAUUCUCUAGCAUGCGCGGGCAGUUAGCCAGCUCUCCCCGGGCACUGCUGCGCACCCGUAUGCAGGCACAAGCUAGCUCUGUGCUCCUUGAGAGAAUCCCUAUCAGACGCUCUUUAUGUCUUAAUUGAGGACAAAUCUGUUAGCGCAAGGCCAGCGUGCGUGCGUGGGCUCCUCGCUGCUGUCACCCGAGCACAGAUGAAAUGAAUGGAGAGACUUUUAAAUGUGCUGAGCUGAGCUGGCAGACGCUGGAUGUUGAGAUGGUUUGUUUUUACCUCAAAGCAGCUUAAAGUUUUUGUUUGCAGUGUGAUUUAUUGAUUGUAGUGUAUUUCGCUAAAUGGUAUUAAAAAGAUGAAGU
This is a long non-coding RNA of Labeo rohita (rohu), 3094 nucleotides long. RefSeq lists it as uncharacterized. The transcript has 4 exons. The record is from RefSeq and is a predicted model, not a curated record. Lineage: Eukaryota; Metazoa; Chordata; Actinopteri; Cypriniformes; Cyprinidae.